UCCUAUACGCUAAAUAUAACAUGCAAUGUAUAGUUGGAAAUCCAAAUAGGGGUGUCUUCAAAGUAUUGAAAAUAGGCCCGGAAAACAGUCAGAUUAAAUUCUCUAUUUUUCCAUAUGCUACAGACACAUAUAUUUUAUAUAUAUAUAUAUAUAUAUAUAUAGAGAGAGAGAGAGAGACCUCUCCAUGCAAACCCAACACCAAAACCUGCGACCUUUCAUGUGGACCUUCAAUUCAAUUACGAUUCUACAUCUUCUAAUU
Long non-coding RNA from Rhodamnia argentea, 259 nucleotides. RefSeq lists it as uncharacterized. The record is from RefSeq and is a predicted model, not a curated record. The transcript is spliced from 2 exons. Lineage: Eukaryota; Viridiplantae; Streptophyta; Magnoliopsida; Myrtales; Myrtaceae.